CCUACGGGAGGCAGCAGUGGGGAAUAUUGCACAAUGGGCGCAAGCCUGAUGCAGCGACGCCGCGUGAGGGAUGACGGCCUUCGGGUUGUAAACCUCUUUCAGUAGGGAAGAAGCGUAAGUGACGGUACCUGCAGAAGAAGCGCCGGCUAACUACGUGCCAGCAGCCGCGGUAAUACGUAGGGCGCAAGCGUUAUCCGGAAUUAUUGGGCGUAAAGAGCUCGUAGGCGGUUUGUCGCGUCUGCCGUGAAAGUCCGGGGCUCAACUCCGGAUCUGCGGUGGGUACGGGCAGACUAGAGUGAUGUAGGGGAGACUGGAAUUCCUGGUGUAGCGGUGAAAUGCGCAGAUAUCAGGAGGAACACCGAUGGCGAAGGCAGGUCUCUGGGCAUUAACUGACGCUGAGGAGCGAAAGCAUGGGGAGCGAACAGGAUUAGAUACCCAGGUAGUCCAUGCCGUAAACGUUGGGCACUAGGUGUGGGGGACAUUCCACGUUUUCCGCGCCGUAGCUAACGCAUAAGUGCCCGCCUGGGGAGUACGGCCGCAAGGCUAAACGUCAAAGGAAUUGACGG
Molecule: ribosomal RNA, 566 nt
Filed under: uncultured bacterium
Lineage: Bacteria
Description: bacterial SSU rRNA
Rfam family: Bacterial small subunit ribosomal RNA
Source: RNAcentral